UCGACUAUAGGAGUCCAGCAACACAGCCAUCACAUCAUCUGCUGAUCCCGAUAAGCUAAAUUCUUAGAUUAGCAAGGAGCUGCCCGACAGGCCUGCAGAGUUUGAGAACAGCUGGAAGGCAGGAGGAGCCUGGGGCCACUGCUCCAUCCUGUUCUCUUCCAGGUUCCAUCACAGAAGGCUUCAGAGUGGAAUUUCCUCAGGAUGUGAUCGUGCGAGCUGUCCACUAUCUUCCUCAAGAGCUCAGAAGAGCUGAAAUGAAAGAGCAGAGGUUGGAGGCUCUCUGGCCUGGUGGUGAAGGCAGCCAGACACCACAUGGCCAACCUCAGCUUAAGUCCCACACCCAGCACCUUGAAACACUGAGCACGUUAUGUGUGUGCCCAAAAUUCUGCAGGGAAGCAGAGAUGGAGAAGGGAUUGCCGCUGGUCAUCCCCCUUCCCAAAGGCGGGUGCUUUCUCUUCUCUCUGGCCAGCGCAUGUGCCCUCUGGCAAAAUUUAAAAAGGAAGAGUAAAUGGAGAGAAUGAGGAGCAACUGGGACCCUCAUACCACUGCGGGGCGUGCGAAGUGACUCAACCGCUGUGAAAUACCCUGACUGCUGUCUAAGAAGGUUGCUCCCCCGAGGCACACCACGGCCACGCCUGCUGUAACCACGGCCGGGAACUGCACACCCAGACCGUCCCUCCCCAUCAGCUCCUGCGUGUCCCUGUGGCCACCCCAGACUCCCCAGUCGAAAUAGAUGUGCCCCCACCCUUCCUGAGGCUGCCACACGUUUUCCGCCCAGGUGGGCGGGGUGCUAGGGGCACUGCCUGCAGCUGGCUGCGUUUGUCCCAGGUCGCACGUGAACUGAUUGCCAGGUGGGUCCAGCCACUGGCGGGCACUGGCAAGAUGCAGGACGAAAGAGAGAGAAUCAGGGUCUUUCUCUGCCCCUCUCUGCUGGGGAGUCUCUGGUGGUGGCUCCAACUUCGGGGAGGCCCACUGUGGUUCCUGGCCCCUGUGGACCCCUCCCUGACACCUGUAAGUCGACUUCCGCCUGGGCCCUCCCCCAAAGAUGGUACCAGUUUCCAUGGUGGCUGGCCUCCCUGGGCAGUCUGUUUGGAAGGCUGUAUACUGAGCGACGACCCCAGCUGACACAGUAACCCCAACACAUUUUGCUCAUUUUAGGUUUUGAAUACUUCCCCCUACCCCUACUUGGGUGUCCAGGUAAGGUCUUCCUGGCACAGUGAGACGGCAGCACCAUUGGGAAGAUGAGAUGAGAAACAGACGGAAGGAGGUGACCAUGCUGCCGGGCAGUCAGGGAGGGACCUCCUCCUGUGGGCAGCGGCCUCUGCCUCCCACAGUACUUGUGCCUGGUCCUUUUCUCCUGAGCCCGGCUUCUGAAACACCGUCAAAGGACAUACCUCCUGGCCUGCCUGGCAGGGUACCCUCCCAAACCUGGGAGCCCAGAUCUCCCAGGACCACGGAGACACCUCACCAAUGGUUCUCCACGUGGGGCGGGGCUCUACCAGGCCACGACCAGCAGGGGGUGUCACAGGUGGCCCAGAGGACAUGGUGAGGCUGGAAUGCCCUGCGGUGCUUGCAUGAGUCAGGACACAGUCCUGGCAGGUCUUCGGGUGUCAUGUUAGUAACCUGAGUUUGCUGCCCUCCCCGCCAUGUGUCCCUGCUCUUUGGAGAGGUCCUUGGUGCUGCGCCCUGGCCCGUGGGACAGCAGCCAGUGUGGGAAUCCUGCCACGACUGAGGCAGGGCACGACCCACUCCUCCGUGAUCUCGGCCUCUGGGGUCUCUAAUGCACACUCACACUAACACAGCCCCCGCACACUUACACCACACACUCUUGCUCACACACAGCUCAUGCACACAGUGCUCCUCACACGCACACCUACUCAUUCAGUCCCACUCACAUUCACACCACACUCACAGCUCAUACCAUACACACUCACAAGCUCACAGUGACAUACCCGGGGCGCUUCUCAAGCCACUGGGUCUGGAACGUGAACUCUGCAGCCAGCCACGUGGGAUCCGGCGACCGUGGCCAGUGGCCCCGGGCUGGUCCCACAUCCACGCUGAUGCUCACACUCAUUCAGUCGCACGUUCACACAGAAUGCACAGAACAUCCACCUCCCCCACCUUCACUCACACUCUCACCACCCACUCGCCCACUCCCACACACCCACUCAUGUUCGCGCUCAUUUUCACACGGAAUCCGCAGCGCGCUCACAUGCUCACCAGCGUCCCGUCCCCGCUGCCCCCUGCAGUCCCGCUCGCCUGGUGCCAGCGACCCCGCAGCUCUUGUGCCAGACCCACCCCUUCUCCGCACACCUCUCCCCACAUUCAUCCUGUGCCUUUGUCCCCUGGGACAUGUGGGCUCCAUAGAAGGUGCUUGGUAGUCAAGUUGUAAAACUUUUAGGAAAGUGUACUAUACCCCAAGCGACUGGGUGUGCUUUACAUAGGCGGUCUGUGUAGUGUGAAUUCUGUCGCAAUGGACCAGUUCCCAAAACCACAGGCUGGCUUCUGUGACGCUGAGGACUUGCUCUCUGGGUCCCAGGAAACAGCUCUGAGACAGGAGGCAUCGGCAGCUCCCCGGACUCUGGGGAAGAGGGACGGUCUCACCCGCACAACAGGCCCAAGAAACUGCCGGGACCCCUGUGCCCAUCUUUCCGGCUGAAUUCACAGGACUCGGCUGGAAGGGGAUGGAGACACAGAGAGAGGGGCCUGGCUGCCUGGGGAGGCCCCCAUUAGCCGUCUCCAUCAGUUGAUUGGAUAAGCCAGGAACAGACUCCUUUCGGGCUAGCCUGAGUUGCGGGCUCACUCGUUACAGUGGCCAGUGCUACUUUAGCGGGUGUACCUCCCCUUGCAGAUCACGGGAAGGUGGAUGAGGCUCUUAGGCUCCGGGGGACAUGGUGACUGAGAACUAGUCCUGACAUCUGGGGCUGACAGCAGAGCGAGGAGGCACGUCUGGUGUGGCGGGAAGGUGUCCUCCAGGCUGACGGCACAGCUGGUGUGCUCGGGCAGCCCUGGUUUACACUUAGCAGCCCCGCUAAUUGUUGACAGCUCUCCUUUCUCUCUUGGAAGCAUCCGGAUUUGGAAGGUUCCUGGUCGCUUGUGAACGCCUGCUUUCCUGCAGGGAACCUGGAAGCUUGCUCCGUGAGGCCAGAGAGUGCUACUGUAAUCAGCCCCAGGAGACACCGUGGACGCUGAGUCUCCAGGAAGCCUUGCCCGGUGGGGCCGUGCACGGCACUCCAAGUCCUGGCGCUCAGCUGACACCCACCCCUCUGCAGCUUUGAUGUGGGGCCACCUCGUGUUUGUUUUGCUGGUGUCAUCGGAAAGGGAUGUUCCUCUCCGUCGUCACGGAGAGAAAAUGGACAGAUCUAUCUUAUGUUUCUGAAUAUCCUCCUUUCACAAUCAGUUUGUUUCUUGGAGACCAAAAAAAAAAAAAAAGGCAGCUAUUAGAGUUUAAUAUUUGCUGAAAACCAAACGCGCCUUCCACACAAGGUGACCGUGGGCGUCCUGGAGAGCCAUGGCCCAGCUGAAGCGGAACUGAAGGCCAAGAUGGCACUCCUCAUACAUGGACCACGAAGUGGGAACCCACUCUAAGGAGCAGCAAGCCACAAUGAGGCUGACGCUGGGAACGGAUCUAACCCUGCUGUUGAGUUUGGGUUGUGGGUUAUUAGGUAAAAAUACCGUAAUUGUGAGGACGCAGGCAGUGCCCUGGCCACGUGCAGUCACCAGGCUCGAAUUCCUCCACCAGCUCUGAAAUCUUUCAGCUGGUCCUGGCUCUCCCACAUCCUGACCCAUGUCCCUCCAAACGGGGUCCCGUGGUGUUCGUUGCUGUCUCUGGAGCCCAUGCGUGGCUGCGGGCAGGUGUUCUGACCAGUCAGUCAGCAUGUCCUCAUCCGCUUCCUUUCGCAGCAUGAGCGAGACAGAGAAGAGACAAUGGUGUCUGGCGGUGUCCCUGACAAUCUGGUCACCCCAUAUGUGGAUCUACAAACUGACUUAAAUUCUUCGCCAAGAUCGACGGAGCUGUUGGGUAAUUGCUGAAACCCGAUCACGGACACAUGGAGUCUGUCCUACCACUCUGCGUUUUUAUGUCUGUUUGGGAAUUUCCACGAGAAAUGUUUUUAAAUAGUCAAAUUUGGGGCCAGCAGGUUGCCUAGUGGUUA
This is a long non-coding RNA of Tupaia belangeri chinensis (Chinese tree shrew), 4154 nucleotides long. RefSeq lists it as uncharacterized. NCBI's taxonomy places the organism in Eukaryota, Metazoa, Chordata, Mammalia, Scandentia, Tupaiidae. The record is from RefSeq and is a predicted model, not a curated record. The transcript is spliced from 3 exons.